This 492-nucleotide ribosomal RNA is filed under the name uncultured bacterium. RNAcentral describes it as "partial 16S ribosomal RNA". It matches the Rfam family "Bacterial small subunit ribosomal RNA", at positions 29 to 507 of the family's 1533-position model. The record is from RNAcentral.
AGUGAACGCUGGCGGUAGGCCUAACACAUGCCAGUCGAACGGCAGCACAGUAAGAGCUUGCUCUUACGGGUGGCGAGUGGCGGACGGGUGAGGAAUACAUCGGAAUCUACUUUUUCGUGGGGGAUAACGUAGGGAAACUUACGCUAAUACCGCAUACGACCUACGGGUGAAAGCAGGGGAUCUUCGGACCUUGCGCGAUUGAAUGAGCCGAUGUCGGAUUAGCUAGUUGGCGGGGUAAAGGCCCACCAAGGCGACGAUCCGUAGCUGGUCUGAGAGGAUGAUCAGCCACACUGGAACUGAAACACGGUCCAGACUCCUACGGGAGGCAGCAGUGGGGAAUAUUGGACAAUGGGCGCAAGCCUGAUCCAGCCAUACCGCGUGGGUGAAGAAGGCCUUCGGGUUGUAAAGCCCUUUUGUUGGGAAAGAAAAGCAGCAGGUUAAUACCCCGCUGUUCUGACGGUACCCAAAGAAUAAGCACCGGCUAACUUCGUG